UUCAAAUGAGGAAAGGCUCACGGUGGAUACCUAGGCACCCAGAUACGAGGAAGGGCGUAGCAAGCGACGAAAUGCUUCGGGGAGUUGAAAAUAAGAAUAGAUCGAGAUCCGUAGAUUCCCCAAUAGGUUAACCUCUAGAAUUACUGCCAACACACGGUCAGUCGAUGGACAACCUGUCGAACUGAAACAUCUUAGUAGACAGAGGAAAAUAAAGCAAAAGCGAUUUCCAUAGUAGCGGCGAGCGAAACGGGAACAGCCUAAACCAUUUAGGGGUUGUGGGGGAGCAAUCCACGCGAGCGCGUGCUGCUAGGCGAAGUGGUAGAAUACCACACCCUAGAUGGUGAGAGUCCAGUAGCCGAAAGCAUUACUAGCUACUGCGCUCUGACCCGAGUAGCAUGGGACACGUGGAAUCUCGUGUGAAUCAGCAAGGACCACCUUGUAAGGCUAAAUAUUCCUGGGGGACCGAUGGCGAAGUAGUACCGUGAGGGAAAGGUGAAAAGAACCCACACUGUGGAGUGAAAUAGAUCAUGAAAUCGUGAGCUACCAAGCAGUGGGAGAAUGAAAUCUUUGACCGCGUGCCUGUUGAAGAAUGAGCCGGCGACUCGUGGGCAGUGGCUUGGUUAAGGGAACCCCCCGUAGCCAUAGCGAAAGCGAGUCCUCAUAGGACGAUUGUCGCUGCUUAUGGACCCGAACCUGGGUGAUCUAUCCAUAACCAGGGUGAAGCUUUGGUGAAACUAAGUGGAGGCCCGAACCGGCUGAUGUUGAAGAAUCCGCGGAUGAGUUGUGGUUAGGGGUGAAAUGCCACUCGAACCCAGAGCUAACUGGUUCUCUUCGAAAUGCGUUGAGGCGCAGCGGUUGACUGGGCAUUAUAGGGGUAAAGCACUCUUUCGGCGCGGGACGAGAUAUCGGUACCAAGUCGAGACAAACUAUGAAUACUAGGUAUGACCCCGUAGGGGAAUCCGCGUCGACCAGUGAGACGAUGGGGGAUAAGCUUCAUCGUCGAGAGGGAAACAGCCCGGAUCACCAGCUAAGGUCCCUAAAUGACCGCUCAGUGAAAAAGGAGGUAUGGUCGCAUAGACAGACAGGAGGUUCGCCUAGAAGCAGCCACCCUUUAAAGAGUGCGUAAUAGCUCACUUAUCGAGCGUCCUUGCGCCGAAGAUGAAGGGGGCUAAGCGAUCUGCCGAAGCUGUGGGAUGUCAAAAAGCACAUCGGUAGGGGGGCGUUCCGCCUUCGAGGGAAGCUACCGCGUAAGCGAGUGUGGACGAAGCGGAAGCGAGAAUGUCGGCUUGAGUAACGCAAACAUUGGUGAGAAUCCAAUGCCCCGAAAAUCGAAGGGUUUCUCCGCAAGGUUCGUCCACGGAGGAUUAGUCAGGGCCUAAGAUCAAGCCGGAAGGCAUCGUCGAUGGGCAACAGGUAAAUAUUCCUGCACUACCUCUUGUUUUGUCGGUCGCGAGGGACGGAGGAGGCUAGGUUAUCCGAAAGAUGGUUAUUCGGUUCAAGGGCACGGGGCUAGCCCUCCGCGUCCCUGUGGGGGAAAAAUGCCUCGAGCCAAAUGCCCGAGCACCAGGUGCUUAGCGCCUAAGUAACAUACGGCGUACUCCCAGGAAAAGCUCGAACGACCCUUUAUAAAUAACAAAUUUAAAAGAGUACCUGUACCCGAAACCGACACAGGCAGAUAGGUAGAGAAUACCUAGGGGUGCGAGACAACUCUCUCUAAGGAACUCGGCAAAAUAGCCCUGUAACCUCGGGAAAAGGGGUGCCUCUUAUCAAAGGAGGUCGCAGCGACCAGGCCCAGGCGACUGUUUACCAAAAACACAGGUCUCCGCAAAGUCGUAAGACAAUGUAUGGGGGCUGACGCCUGCCCAGUGCCGGAAGGUCAAAGAAAUCGGUGACCUGAUUACAGGGUAGCUGACAACCGAAGCCCCGGUGAACGGCGGCCGUAACUAUGACGGUCCUAAGGUAGCGAAAUUCCUUGUCGGGUAAAUUCCGACCCGCACGAAAGGCGUAACGAUCUGGGCACUGUCUCGGGGGGAGACUCGGUGAAAUAGACAUGUCUGUGAAGAUGCGGACUACCCACACCUGGACAGAAAGACCCUACGAAGCUUUACUGUUACCUGGGGUUGUCUUUGGGAUUUUCCCGCGCAGUUUAGGUGGAGGGCGAAGAGGGCCACGGCCCGAGCCAUCAGUGAGAUACCACUCGGGAAGAACUAUAAUUCUAACCUUGUACCGUGACCCACAACCCAUAGGACGAGGAACAUUCUCUGGUAGACAGUUUAUAUGGGGCGUAGGCCUCCAAAAGGGUAACGGAGGCGCGCAAAGGUUUUCUCGGGCCAGACGGGGAUUGGUCCUCGAGUGUAAAGGCAGAAGGGAGCUUGACUGCAAGACCUACCCGUCGAGCAGGGACUAAAGUCGGCCUUAGUGAUCCGACUGUUCCAAGUGGCAGGGCAGUCGCUCAACGGAUAAAAGUUACUCUAGGGAUAACAGGCUGAUCUUCCCCAAGAGUUCACAUCGACGGGAGGGUUUGGCACCUCGAUGUCGGCUCCUCGCUACCUGGGGCUGUAGGAUGUCCCAAGGGUCGGGCUGUUCGCCCAUUAAAGCGGUACGUGAGCUGGGUUCAGAACGUCGUGAGACAGUUCGGUCCAUAUCCGGUGUGGGCGUUAGAGCAUUGAGAGGGCCUUCCCUAGUACGAGAGGACCGGUAAGGAUACACCCCUGGUGUACCAGUUAUCGUGCCCGCGGUAAACGCUGGGUAGCCAAGUGUAGAGUGGAUAACUGCUGAAAGCAUCUAAGUAGUAAGCCCACCACAAGAUGAGUGCUCUCCU
RNAcentral lists this ribosomal RNA (2821 nucleotides) under Haplothismia exannulata. RNAcentral describes it as "23S ribosomal RNA". It matches the Rfam family "Bacterial large subunit ribosomal RNA". The record is from RNAcentral. Lineage: Eukaryota; Viridiplantae; Streptophyta; Magnoliopsida; Dioscoreales; Burmanniaceae.